AACCCUCUGCUACGCCUAACAGUCCACACAAAUUACACACCCCAUGCCUUUUACACAAAUCAUUUGCCACAGAAAGUAAAUGCGAUUAACCUCUGUCAUCCUAGCGCCAUAGCGAACAGUACCGCAAGGGACGAAUGAAAAAAAAAUGAUAUACUAAGUACACCACAGCAGUGUUAAAUACACGUACCUUUUGCAUCACGGCUUAGCAAGUCUCCGCAUAUAAAAUGAAUUUCAAUAUGCCCCCCCGAAAAGAAGUGAGCUAUUUUAAAGCAGCAACUCGUGCGAACCCGUCUCUGUAGCAAAAGAGUGGGACGACUUUAAAAUAGAGGUGACAAGUCUAACGAACUUCUAGAUAGCUGGUUGCUUAGUAAAUGAAUAUAAGUUCAACUCUAAAUUUCCACUGCAUUACUUUUAGCCUCAAAAAAAUUUAGAAGCUAUUUGAUCGAGGUACAGCUCGAUCAAACAAGGAUACAGCCUUUGCCGAGAGAAACCUCCCUAAAACAUACCCAUGGUGUAAGCCCUAAAGCCGCUAUCACCCACCAUCGCGUCAAAGCGAAACAUAACAAAAUCAGAUACUACUACAGCUACUCCGGACAACCUACCAAGCUAUUCCAUGCUACCAUGGAAGAACUACUGCUAGGACUAGUAAAAUGGCAUUACCCUCUCUGCAUCCCCAUAAAUCACACACUACUUAAUAGACUACAAAAAGGAAAAUCACCACCACCAAGCCAUGUGAUUAACUAAACUAUUAACCCGACACAGGAGUGCAUGAAAGAAAGAAAAAAUAUUAUGAAAGGAACUCGACAACCACCGAUUUCAACUGUUUACCAAAAACAUAGCCUUUAGCCCAACACAGUAUUAAAGGUCUCGCCUGCCCGGUGAUUCACUUUUAACGGCCGCGGUAUCCUAACCGUGCAAAGGUAGCGCAAUCAUUUGUUCUUUAAAUGAGGACUAGUAUGAAUGGCGCCAUGAAAAUCGAUUUGUCUCUCGUAGUAGUUCUAUGAACCUGAUCUCCCAGUACAAAAGCUGGAAUAUAAUCAUAAGACGAGAAGACCCUGUGGAGCUUUAAACUUCUACUCAACUUCAUGAUUUAGCAGUUUUCGGUUGGGGCGACCCUGGAGACAAACAAAACCUCCAGAAAACUACACACUAGGCCGACAGGCCAAUCCUGCAAUGACCCAAUAAAAUUGACUAUUGAACCAAGUUACCCCAGGGAUAACAGCGCAAUCUUCUUCAAGAGUCCAUAUCGACAAGAGGGUUUACGACCUCGAUGUUGGAUCAGGAUGUCCAAAUAGUGCAGACGCUAUUAAUUGGUUCGUUUGUUCAACGAUUAAAAUCCUACGUGAUCUGAGUUCAGACCGGAGUAAUCCAGGUCGGUUUCUAUCUAUGCAUGCUACUUUCUUAGUACGAAAGGAUCAGAAAGCAAGGACCAAUAAUAAAAUUACGUCCUACAACUACCAGCUGAUUAAAAUCUGAAGCUGUCAGCAUAACAAAAAGUAGUAGACAAUUACUU
Molecule: ribosomal RNA, 1513 nt
Filed under: Geocalamus acutus
Lineage: Eukaryota; Metazoa; Chordata; Lepidosauria; Squamata; Amphisbaenidae
Description: large subunit ribosomal RNA
Rfam family: Bacterial large subunit ribosomal RNA
Source: RNAcentral